UUGAAAGCAAAUUGUCGUGAAUUCCGAGUCGGCCGAGGUAAACUUUUCCCUAGCGUCUACCUACCUUGGUUUGAACUAGAUUGAGAGACGAAGUAAAAGAAAGAGAGAGAGAGAGAGAGAGAGAGGAGAGAGUAUUGUUACUCGACGAAGAAAUAAAAAGUAAGCUCGUAUCGAAAGUAGAUUCGCUUAAACAAACCCCUCAGGACGAUGCAAUCUCUAUUUUCCUCGAUAGUUCGAAAAGAAAAGGAAAAAGAAGAUUAUUCUGGUGCUCCGGAAAAAGAGUCAGUUCGUUAUUAGAAAAUAUCAUCGAGACCCGUGGAAAAGAGCGAAGUUUUAAAAGGAUGAAAGGAUCUAACAAAGAAUUACACAUAUCGUAAUAACGACUUGGUUUCUACGGUGGGAUAAGGGAAGAAAAUUUAUACGAACAGUUUGACGUGACAAAUGAAAAAAGGAAGAAAGAAAAAAAAAAGAAAUGGAAAAGAAGGAAAAAAAAAAAGAAAAAAGAAAAGGGCAUUCGGUUAAAUAGCGUCGAGCGUCGAACAAGAGAAAAGAGUCCUUUAUCGAUACAUACAUACCUACGUAGAUAUUCUUAUAUACGGGCUUCUGAAAAUGAGGAAGGAAAUGAGAGAAUAGUAAAAAAAAAAAAGAAGAAAGAAAAAGGAAAAGGAAAGAAAAGAAAAAAGAAAGAGAGCAAAAAUCAAGAAACAAAAUAAAAAACGAAGAAGAAUAUAAAGAGAAAGCUGAGGCCCCAGAGGGAGAAUUUCGUUAUGGUAUCGCAAAAACAAACAACCUCGAAUCCGAAAUCGUAUUUGAAAUAUAAAAUCUGCGCUCGCUUUGCGUCGAUACGCAACGCAUUGUUUACUAUCCUAAUAUUGCUAAAACCAUUCUUUUUUUCCUUUUCAAAUAGUUUUUGUUUCGCGCGUUCCUAUCUUCCUCUUCAUUUCUUUCUCUUCCUCGCUUUGAUUUUAUUUUUCAAUUCUUUUUUGUUUGAUCAUCGACGAGUUCCCUACGUUUUCAUUAAUACACCCUAUGAAUAGAGGCCAUACGGCACGUAUCGUUCGUUCGUAUCGCGUAUUAUACCUAUACUCAUGCAGGGUGGUCUAUUGAGAGGCGGAUAAACUGUAUCUCCGGACUGCUCGAUGAAGGAAGGAAGGAAGGAAGGAAGGAAGGAAGGAAGGAAGGAAGGAAGAAGAGAGAGAGAGAGAGAGAGAGAGAGAUAAAAAAUAUAUACGAAUGGCUGGGAUAGUGAUUUACAUGGAGCAUUGGCGUGGCGAUAUUCACUGGCCAUUCACGUUUCAAUGCGUCUACGAGGAAGGAAAUUUUCAACAAUCUCGUACGAGAUUCUCUUAUGAAAGCGCCUGAGAAUGAGCGUUCAUUAGAAUUCUGUAUUUAACGAAAUAACAAGAUAGAAAGACAGAGAUAGAGAUAGAUAGAAAUAGAGAGAGCGAGAGAGAAAGAGAGAGAGAGAGAGAGAGAGAGA
This is a long non-coding RNA of Vespula vulgaris, 1480 nucleotides long. RefSeq lists it as uncharacterized. The record is from RefSeq and is a predicted model, not a curated record. Lineage: Eukaryota; Metazoa; Arthropoda; Insecta; Hymenoptera; Vespidae. The transcript has 3 exons.